RNAcentral lists this unclassified non-coding RNA (355 nucleotides) under soil metagenome. RNAcentral describes it as "partial contains 5.8S ribosomal RNA, internal transcribed spacer 2, and large subunit ribosomal RNA". The stretch from base 1 to 120 matches the Rfam family "5.8S ribosomal RNA", at positions 35 to 154 of the family's 154-position model. The record is from RNAcentral.
GAUGAAGAACGUAGCGAAAUGCGAUAAGUAAUGCGAAUUGCAGAAUUCAGUGAAUCAUCGAAUCUUUGAACGCACAUUGCGCCCGCUAGUAUUCCGGCGGGCAUGCCUGUCUGAGCGUCAUUUCAACCCUCGCCCCCGGCUUUUGCUGGGAGCGGUGUUGGGGAUCGGCCGCCCGUCACUGGGAGGCCGGCCCCGAAAUAGAGUGGCGACCACGCCGUGUGCUCCUCUGCGUAGUAGUAAAUCACCUCGCAGGCGGACAGCGGUGCGGCCUGCCGUAAAACCCCCAACUCUUUCUGGUUGACCUCAGAUCAGGUAGGAAUACCCGCUGAACUUAAGCAUAUCAAUAAGCGGAGGA